GAUGAACGCUAGCGAUAGGCUUAACACAUGCAAGUCGAGGGGCAGCACAAGGUAGCUUGCUAUCUGGGUGGCGACCGGCGCACGGGUGCGUAACGCGUAUGCAACUUGCCCUAUACAGGAGGAUAACCCGUCGAAAGACGGACUAAUACUGCGUAUGCUCACAACUUGGCAUCAAGUGGUGAGGAAAGAAAUUCGGUAUAGGAUAGGCAUGCGUCCCAUUAGCUUGUUGGUGAGGUAACGGCUCACCAAGGCAACGAUGGGUAGGGGAACUGAGAGGUUUAUCCCCCACACUGGUACUGAGACACGGACAAGACUCCUACGGGAGGCAGCAGUGAGGAAUAUUGGUCAAUGGGCGCGAGCCUGAACCAGCCAAGUCGCGUGAAGGAGGACUGUGUUAUGGAUUGUAAACUUCUUUUAUACGGGAAUAACAAGAGUCACGGGUGACUCCCUGAAUGUACCGUAUGAAUAAGCAUCGGCUAACUCCGUG
This 487-nucleotide ribosomal RNA is filed under the name uncultured bacterium. RNAcentral describes it as "partial 16S ribosomal RNA". It matches the Rfam family "Bacterial small subunit ribosomal RNA", at positions 28 to 507 of the family's 1533-position model. The record is from RNAcentral.